Nitrospirae bacterium GWC2_57_9 is the source of this 77-nucleotide non-coding RNA. NCBI's taxonomy places the organism in Bacteria, Pseudomonadati, Nitrospirota. The record is from Rfam.
UUUUUGGAGAGUUUGAUCCUGGCUCAGAACGAACGCUGGCGGCGUGCUUAACACAUGCAAGUCGAACGAGAAGUACA